UAAUGAACAGAUACUCUGAAGAAGAAGAGACACUAAGAAACCCAAUGCUGCUUUACCAAUCUAGGCUAUUUGGGAGACUAAAAGACCACACUCCACAGUGAACUAUACCACUCAGUAUAGUUCAUUACUAUUUUGUGGCUACAUU
This is a small nucleolar RNA of Cavia porcellus (domestic guinea pig), 145 nucleotides long. Ensembl annotates it as small nucleolar RNA SNORA4. Lineage: Eukaryota; Metazoa; Chordata; Mammalia; Rodentia; Caviidae. The record is from Ensembl.